UAUAAAAGUUUUUCCACAAUUCCCACCAUUUCCACAAUUUGAUAACACACGAAGAGGCGGUGAAUGAUUUUCCAUAUGCCACAUGAUGCACAAUGCAUCAUAUGAAGUAUCGAAAUUGGUAUACUUGAUGGGUAUUGAAUAUUAAGCAUCAAUGACUCGAAUGUUUCCUUAUUCUGUAAAACCUAAAACAUGGCUGAUGAGACAGUAAGUUCGAUUGAAUUCACAAGUGAUGCAUUACCGUCUAUUAACUAUACUCGGUACAAUUCGAAUGUAACGUAUUCCAUCGAGCCGAUCUAUUCGAAACUGGGUAUGGGUUUUAUACACGAUUUUACUCACGCUUUGUUUGACAAGUACUAUACAUCAAAUGAAGAUUCACCAAAAGGUUAUGUAAUUGCCGUUGACAACUCAAGCUCAUAUGCUUUGGGUCCCAAAGUAUGGGCAAAUGUGUGGGAAUCUUUGAUUGCUCGAAAAGCAGUCGUGCUCGUCUGGGUGAUGUUUCUUCUAACCGUCAUAAUAAUCGUACCGUUUAUUGCGGUAUGUUAUUUUUGUUUCUGUUGUUGCCGUUGCCACGCCAUUUGCCCACCUUGUCAAAGUGCCUCGAAUACUACUAAGCGUAUUUUACUGAGUUUACUGCUAAUACCACUUAUACUGGGAGCUAUGUUUGGAUUGGUCGUGGCAUUCCUGAACGAUAAACUGAUUAAUAAUACGAUGCGAGACAGCAGCGAGACAAUGAUGCGCAGCAACAGGGACACUUGUGCCAUGCUGCAGGACGUCUGCCUACAUGUCCGUCACUUGCUCGUCGAUAACUUUGAGGAAUUGGCGACAACGAUGAGUAGCCAGCUCUUUGCCGUUGCUGAGAUGGCCUAUAAGGAUCUGAGAACAGAGGCGGGCCUACAUCUAUUAGAGGUAUUGGAGGAUAUCUUUGACAAUAUGCCCGAGGCAUUGGCGCUUCUGGAGCAGGUGAAGGAAAUGCAGGCCUAUUUAGUUUUCAUUGGCAGCCAAUACCGUGAUGCUUUGCGUGGGGCUAAGCGUGAUUUCGUGUAUGUUCUUACCGUGUGGUGCGAUUUCUUUGAGUGUAAUAACAUAAUUCGAAGCAAUAACCUUUUAUACAUGGAUACUUCACAAUGCCUUCAUUUCGAUAAGCUGCCAAAUACCAGCGCCUAUAUUGAGGAUGUCAAGAACAUUAUAUAUGAAGACUAUUAUAGAGUACCGAAAUCCUGGUUAGAUCGCCUGUACGAUGAACAACAGAAAUUCAAACUCGCUCUCGACCCGAUGAUACCGCCCAUGAUACGUCGCAUCAGCAUGUUGGCCGAUUCCCUAGAGUCCGAAAGCCACAAGAUAUGCAACAUAACUUAUAGGGCUAUGAGUAACAUAUUUAUACGAAACAUGCAUUCCACCAAAAGUUUUGAAGAGCUCUACGAUAACUAUGGCCGUAGUCGUUGGUAUGCCAGUUUCGGUUUGUUUUUCAUCAUGCUAACGAGCCUCAUUUCACAUUUUAGAUUGUGAUUAUAUUGAGCUAUACUCUUAUAGCUGGGCUUUGCAUACGAAAAGAUAACUCUGCAUCGAGCUGUAUGUUACUCGCGAUUAUUUUAAUGUUUG
This 1599-nucleotide unclassified non-coding RNA is filed under the name Drosophila mojavensis. RNAcentral describes it as "GI17429". Lineage: Eukaryota; Metazoa; Arthropoda; Insecta; Diptera; Drosophilidae. The record is from RNAcentral.